UACAUGGGGUGCAAACGUUGCUCGGGAUUAUUGGGCGUAAAGCGCGCGUAGGCGGUUACUCAAGUCGGAUGUGAAAGCCCUCGGCUUAACUGAGGAAGUGCACCCGAAACUGAGUAGCUAGAGUACUAAAGAGGGUCGCGGAAUUCCCGGUGUAGAGGUGAAAUUCGUAGAUAUCGGGAGGAACACCGGUGGCGAAGGCGGCGACCUGGGUAGAUACUGACGCUGAGGCGCGAAAGCGUGGGGAGCAAACAGG
This 253-nucleotide ribosomal RNA is filed under the name uncultured bacterium. RNAcentral's name for it is "partial 16S ribosomal RNA". It matches the Rfam family "Bacterial small subunit ribosomal RNA", at positions 524 to 776 of the family's 1533-position model. The record is from RNAcentral.